GUCCACGCUGUAAACGAUGCUUGUUAGUUGGUGGUAAAAUCACUAACGCAGCUAACGCAUUAAACAAGCCGCCUGAGUAGUAUGCUCGCAAGAGUGAAACUUAAAGGAAUUGACGGGGACCCCGCACAAGCGGUGGACCAUGUGGUUUAAUUCGAAGUCACGCGAAGAACCUUACCCACUCUUGACAUCCUCGGCAAAGCUAUAGAGAUAUAGUGGAGGUUAACCGAGUGACAGGUGGUGCAUGGUCGUCGU
This 252-nucleotide ribosomal RNA is filed under the name uncultured bacterium. RNAcentral describes it as "partial 16S ribosomal RNA". It matches the Rfam family "Bacterial small subunit ribosomal RNA", at positions 793 to 1055 of the family's 1533-position model. The record is from RNAcentral.